ACUUAAGUAGUUUAAGAAAAAUUAUGAUUUGUGAUAUCAUAGAUAUAUUGAUGAAAAUUAUCUUAAGUU
RNAcentral lists this transfer RNA (69 nucleotides) under Phyllocrania paradoxa. RNAcentral's name for it is "tRNA-His". The record is from RNAcentral. Lineage: Eukaryota; Metazoa; Arthropoda; Insecta; Mantodea; Hymenopodidae.